AAUAGGAGCACGACAAAUUAGAAUUUUUCUUCUGAUUUUUAGAUUUUUCCUCAUAAAAAAAUUUAAAUUCAACUAAAAAUAUUAAAAAUCAAGAGAAAAAAUCUAAUUUAUCAUGCUCUUAUU
RNAcentral lists this microRNA precursor (123 nucleotides) under Gossypium arboreum. RNAcentral's name for it is "MIR7504 microRNA precursor family". It matches the Rfam family "MIR7504 microRNA precursor family". The record is from Rfam by way of RNAcentral. Lineage: Eukaryota; Viridiplantae; Streptophyta; Magnoliopsida; Malvales; Malvaceae.